RNAcentral lists this long non-coding RNA (336 nucleotides) under Equus asinus (donkey). RNAcentral describes it as "lncRNA (ENSEASG00005035757.1)". The record is from RNAcentral. Lineage: Eukaryota; Metazoa; Chordata; Mammalia; Perissodactyla; Equidae.
GGAAAAGCAAACCAAUGGACCGAACAGAGAUCUGUUAAAAAUAGCCAUCAUUUGCAGUUGGUGAGGGCCAUAAUUCACAUAGAGAAGAGUGAGAAGGCAUCUUGCAGGCCCUUCCCUUUCCAGGACUCGCUCCUCAAAUCCAAAGGGCUGGAGGGCAACUGGCUCAUUCCUAUUCCAAUCAUUCAAUGAGCAGGAACUGAGAAUCUGCCAGGAGCCUGCAGGUGCUGAGUGCUGAGGAUGCAAAGAUUCCCAUGAGAAUGUCGCAUUAGAUUUAGUUGUUACGUCUUUUUAAGCUUCUCUACACUAGAACAGUUCCACAGGCUCUCCUUGUUUUUG